This 90-nucleotide transfer RNA is filed under the name Planctomycetota bacterium. Its description in RNAcentral is "Planctomycetes bacterium (sediment metagenome) tRNA-Ser". It matches the Rfam family "tRNA". From Rfam's summary of the family: Transfer RNA (tRNA) molecules are approximately 80 nucleotides in length. Their secondary structure includes four short double-helical elements and three loops (D, anti-codon, and T loops). The record is from RNAcentral. Lineage: Bacteria; Pseudomonadati; Planctomycetota.
GGAUGCGUGGCCGAGUGGUCGAAGGCGGCGGUCUUGAAAACCGCUGUGGGCGAAAGUCCACCGGGGGUUCGAAUCCCUCCGCAUCCGCCU